ACCAUCUCCUUUCUUUCUUACAUCCCAAUGUCCAGAUCUGAUAGAGAUUAAAUCUAAGAGAGAAAAAAGAGAGAAGAAGAGAAGAAGAAGGGUUCUUCUUCUCUUCAUGGUGAUCUGGUUCAGAUCCCGUUGGAUCUGCACGAAAGAGUUCGCGCAGCGAUCUCUUUCUUCAAGAUCUAGAAGAAGAGAUCAAGAUCCAUGGAUGAGGAGCAAGAUCUGUAAGGUGCUAGCAUACCAGUGAUCUCGAUGCUC
This 252-nucleotide long non-coding RNA is filed under the name Elaeis guineensis (African oil palm). Its description in RNAcentral is "long non-coding RNA (EGUI_LNC080266)". The record is from RNAcentral. Lineage: Eukaryota; Viridiplantae; Streptophyta; Magnoliopsida; Arecales; Arecaceae.